This is a long non-coding RNA of Hibiscus syriacus, 186 nucleotides long. RefSeq lists it as uncharacterized. Lineage: Eukaryota; Viridiplantae; Streptophyta; Magnoliopsida; Malvales; Malvaceae. The transcript is spliced from 2 exons. The record is from RefSeq and is a predicted model, not a curated record.
UGUGUUUUCUCUUCUGCUGCAUUUCUGCUUUUUAUUUUUCAUUUUUUCUGGGGCUCUUUUGGACUCUACCUUCGUCCCUUUUUAUUUUUAGAGCUUUAAAAUCUUUGUUGGACUGAUUAUGUAUUAUCUUGUUGGAGUCUGAAACUGUGAAUCUCAGUUUCUUGGUGUUUGGGUUCUUUUGAGAGA